GAUUCCAUCAACGCCUUGACUCAUGAUUUGAACUAUCCAGUCCUGAGGAAAAACAAAAACAUCGAGGCUUUUCUGAACCGAUUUGAAAAGGUGGUGAAUGAGCUGCGGGAGCUGCAGGUGAAGCUUGAAGACUUUGAAAAAGUGAAGUUGAUUGGAAGAGGAGCUUACGGAGAAGUGCAGCUGGUUCGUCACAAGGCCUCUAAGAAGGUUUACGCCAUGAAGCAGCUCAGCAAGUUUGAGAUGAUCAAGAGGUCAGAUUCAGCCUUCUUCUGGGAGGAGAGGCACAUCAUGGCGUUUAACAACAGUCCUUGGAUAGUCCAGCUCUGCUGUGCUUUCCAAGACAAUCACCACCUUUAUAUGGUGAUGGAGUUCAUGCCCGGAGGAGACUUGGUCACGCUCACCAUCAACUACGACAUCCCCGAGAAGUGGGCUCGGUUCUACACGGCUGAAGUGGUGCUGGCGCUGGAUGCCAUCCACUCCUUGGGCUUCAUCCACCGGGACAUUAAACCUGACAACAUGCUGCUGGACCAAAACGGACACGUCAAACUGGCCGACUUCGGCACGUGCCUGAGGAUGGACUCGACAGGUAUGGUGAACUGUGACACAGCUGUAGGCACACCGGACUACAUCUCCCCUGAGGUGCUUCAGUCUCAGGCUGGUGAUGGAAACUACGGCAGGGAGUGCGACUGGUGGUCUCUGGGAGUUUUUAUCUACGAGAUGCUAGUUGGUGAAACUCCUUUUUAUGCCGAGUCUCUCAUCGGGACUUAUGGGAAGAUCAUGAACCACCAGAACUCCCUCAGCUUUCCAGAUGAUGUGGAGAUGUCUUCAGAUGCCAAGAAUCUCAUCUGUGCUUUUCUCACUGACAGGAAGGUUCGUCUGGGCCGCACCGGAGUGGAUGAGAUCAAACGUCACCCCUUCUUCAAGAACGACCAGUGGACUUUUGACAACAUCCGUGACACUGUGGCCCCAGUUGUGCCGGAGCUCCACAGUGACAUAGACACGAGUAACUUUGAUGACAUAGAGGUGGAAAAAGGAGAUGCGGAGACCUUUCCUCCACCUAAAGCGUUCGUGGGCAACCAGUUACCUUUUAUUGGCUUCACCUAUUUCAAAGAAGAUCAGUUGCUGAAAGGAAUUAGCAGCAGCUCUGUGGAGGAUUCAGAGAACUGUAAGGAAAUCUGUAAAGACAAGGAAAACUCCUUGGACGGUCAAAAAGAGCUGCAGAAGAAGUUAAAUCAGCUGGAGGAGCAGCUAGAUAAUGAGAUGCAGGCCAAAGAUGAGCUGGAGCAAAAGUGCAAAAAUGCUACCAACCGUUUAGAUAAGCUGGUCAAAGAGCUGGAUAAGGAGAUGAACAGCAGGCAGAAAGUCGAAGCCUCGCUGAGGCAGCUGGAGAGAGAGCGAGCUCUGCUGCAGCAGCAGAGCGGAGAGAGUCUGCGCAAAGCCGAGAUCGAAGUGGACAGGAAACGCAUCUUGGAGAACGAAUUGAACAACCUGAGGGACCAGCUGGAGGAUCUGAAAAAGAGAAACCAGCACUCUAACGAGAAGAACAUGCAGCUCCAGAAGCAGCUGGAGGAGGCCAACGCCGCGCACCAGGACGAGCAGGAAGUGGCGGCGCGGCUGAGGAAGUGUCAGGCCGAGGCGCAGAAACACGCCCAGAGCCUGGAGGUCAGCCUCAGGGAGGCGCAGGAAGAGUGCGGCCAGCUGAAAGGCAGCAGGACAGAGCUGGAGAAGCAGCUGAGGGAGCUGCAGGCGGAGCUGGAGGAGGCGAGAAGGGACCGAAGCUUCGGGACAGAAACGAUUACAGAUCUGCAGGGACAAAUUUCUGGCUUGCAAGAGGAGCUGAAGGAGGGGAAGUCUGCUCUUUCCAAGGUCCAAACCGAAAACAAGGAGCUGCAGGGGAAUCUGAGCGACCUUGAAAAGGAAAAAAACAACCAAGAAAUCGACCUGACGUACAAGCUGAAGUCCCUCCAGCAGAGUCUGGAGAAGGAGGAGGCAGAACACAAGGCCACGAAAGCAAAGCUGGCGGACAAAAACACCAUCUAUGAGUCCAUCGAGGAGGCAAAAUCUGCAGCUUUGAAAGAGAUGGAGAGCACCCUGCAGGAGGAGCAAAGCAUGAAGCUGCAGGUGGAGGCGAAGCUGCUGCAGCUGGAAAAGGAGCACUCCAUGUUGGACUGCGACUACAAACGAGCACAGCACAAGCUGGACGAGCUGCAGGCGCAGAAGGAGAAACUUUCUGAUGAGGUGAAGAACCUCACGCUCCGUCUGGACGAUGAGAUCCACAAGCAAAGUUUGAUCCAGAGCGAGCUGAAGAUGCAGGUGAAGCAGGUGUCGGUGUUCAGCACCUCGGAGAAACAGCUCAAACAGGAGCUCAACCAUCUGCUGGAGGUGAAGCAGAGCCUGGAGAAACACAACCAGGAGCUGCGCAGAGAAAAGCAGGAGGCUGACGGCCAGCUGAAGGAACUGAAGGACCAGCUGGAGACAGAACAGCAUUUCACAACCCUUUACAAGACGCAGACUCGUGAGCUGAAGGACGAGUGCGAUGAGAAGAACAAGCUGGUCAAAAAGCUGCAGCAGCAAAUGGCAGAAUACAACGAAGAAAGGGAUUCUCUGGCAGCUCAGCUGGAAAACAGUUUGACCAAAGCGGAUUCGGAGCAGCUGGCUCGAUCCGUCAUCGAGGAGCAGUUCUCCCUCCUGGAGAAGGAAAAGAUCAUGAAGGAGCUGGAGCUCAACGACAUGAUGGCGAGACACAAGCAGGAGCUCAGUGAGAAGGACUCCACCAUCAGCUCGCUGGAAGAGUCGAACCGCACUCUGACGGUGGACGUGGCCAACCUGGCCAGCGAGAAGGAAGAGCUGAACAACAAGCUGAAAGAACUGCAGCAAGAACUCCAGAAGGCCAAGGAGGAAGAGAAGCAUCUGAAUUCUGUGAAAGUUUCAUUUGAAAAGCAACUGCAAUAUGAAAGAACGCUUAAAAUCCAGGCGGUGAACAAGCUUGCUGAGGUGAUGAACAGGAAAGAGUCGGUGCGGGUCGGCCAUCGAGGCAUCGACUCCGAGGUACACAAGAAGGAGAAGGAGAACAGGAAGCUGCAGCUGGAGCUGAAAGCGGAGAGGCAGAAGUUUAACAGCACCAUCAUCAAAUUCCAGAGGGACAUGAAUGAAAUGCAGGCGCUGAUGGCAGAGGAGAGCCACUUACGCCAGGAGCUUCAGAUGGCGGUGGACAGUAAAGACAGCGACAUCGAGCAGCUCCGGUGUCAGCUCACCUCCCUCAGCGUUCACUCUCUGGACUCCAUCAGCAGCGGCAACGAUUUGGAGCUAGCUGACGGAUACCCAGUGCGCAUAACUCACUCUAGCACCUCAGAAUCAAUGUCCUUCACCUACCAGCGCACACACAAAUCUGUCCGUGUCGACACACGGCCCAACCUUGGCUCGGCUCGAGCGCUCUUUGACUCUGGCUCUGAGGAUGAAGAGGAGCCUGACGAGCCGGAGGGGCGGGGCACGGGUCCUCUGGCUCUCACCUAUAAACAGACCUCUGAGCCUGAUCCUGGAGACUCCAGACUGGAAGGCUGGAUUUCACUUCCUACCAAGAACACCAAGCGCUUUGGCUGGGACCGAAAAUAUGUGGUUGUAAGCAGCAAGAAAAUACUGUUUUACAACAGCGAGCAGGACCGAGAGCAGGCCAACCCUUUCAUGACCCUGGACAUCGAUAAGCUGUUUCAUGUUCGACCUGUCACUCAAACUGAUGUGUACCGAGCAGACGCCAGAGAAAUUCCAAGAAUAUUCCAGAUUUUGUACCCCAACGAAGGCGAGAGUAAACGCACUCAGGAAGUCAUGCUGGAACCGGCGCCUUAUGAACGUCCAAGUUACGUCAGCUACAAGGGCCAUGAGUUCAUCCCCACCCUGUAUCACUUCCCCUCCGCCUGCGACGCUUGCACGCGGCCUCUGUGGAACGUCUUCAAGCCUCCGCUGGCCUUCGAGUGCCGCCGCUGCCACGCAAAGUGCCACAAGGACCACGUGGACAAAAAGGAAGAACUAAUCGAGCCCUGCUGGGUGAACUACGACAUGUCCAGCGCCAAAGAGCUGCUGCUGCUGACCAACUCUGUGGAGGAGCAGCAGCGCUGGGUCAGUCACCUCCUCAAACGCAUCCCGAGGAAAAACCCCACGUUGAGCCCGCCUACAGCCCUGCCCUGCCCUCAGGAAUCCUCACCCUGCUCGCCUUCAAGGAUCUCCCCGAGGCCGUCGCCCAGGAACUCUCCUCGCCUGCCCCACCAUCGCGGCGCCAUCAAGAUCCAGUCCACCAAACAUCAGACUUCAGAAAAGUCCAGCACUGGCCCCAUGCUCCGUAUCAUCCUCCACUGACCUCCUCUCCUCUGACCCUACAUUUCUAAAAUCUCUCACGCUUCGAGACUCUAACCCCGGCAGUAUUUCUAUCCGUGUGGAUUAAUGAUGCUCGUCUGGAAGCGGUUGCCUACGCACGAUACCUCCUCACAGAAGUAGGACUGACUAAAAUUCAAAUAAUUAAUGAAUUAAUGCAAAAAAAAAGCCACCACCAUGGACACAAACACUCAGACUGUUGUCAUGAAAACUGGGACUGUAUUUAGUGUUUUCAACGAGAGCCGAAUCAACACGGUCGGAAACAGUCUCGCUUCAAAAGGAUUUUGAACUCAAUUCGUUUUUUUGUUUUGAUUUUUGGGCAUGUGUGUAAAUAGAAAAAACAAAUCUGUUCGUUGUAACAAAGUAUAGCUGAUGCUUGUUGUAUUAUGGGUAUAUUAGAGGCACAUUAUACAAUAAAUGAGUGCCCUGUACAUGUUUGAAUACCGUUUCUAAAUGGAGACUUUAAUUACUUUUGAGCCUUUAUCACCUGGACUUGUUUUACACUAAAUAUAUCCAUCACAACAUUACAGAAUAAUGUGAAAUGUGUUUUUUCUUGCCAUUUAAAUGGACUGUUUGAAAUCCUACAUUCAGGAUUUUUUGCAGGGAGAAACAUUAAAGUAUGAUAAAAAAAAAUAAAAUAAACUGUGUAACUUUA
This is an RNA transcript of Austrofundulus limnaeus, 5020 nucleotides long. It is a transcript of the gene named rho-associated protein kinase 2, with no coding region annotated. The record is from RefSeq and is a predicted model, not a curated record. Lineage: Eukaryota; Metazoa; Chordata; Actinopteri; Cyprinodontiformes; Rivulidae.